Molecule: long non-coding RNA, 1485 nt
Organism: Hippocampus comes (tiger tail seahorse)
Lineage: Eukaryota; Metazoa; Chordata; Actinopteri; Syngnathiformes; Syngnathidae
Exons: 2
Source: RefSeq, a predicted model, not a curated record
AAGCGAAGAUGCAUCAGUUUCAAUGGUGAGCGCAUGUCCACCAGUCUACAAAAAUAGGGCCCGUUGUUUUUUCUAGUUUCAUCUUUAGUACAUGACAUUUAAAACAAACAAAUGUAAAACAAACAAAAAACAGAAAACUGACAAUGUCAUUAUUUUUUCCAGUUGAGAUCGGAUGACUCAGGAUGGAUAAUUAUACCAGGUCUGAACAGGCCAUUGUUUGAACUACGACUGAAGUGACACUGGAUUAUUGUUUAAUAUUUGUCCUUUAUGUGGGAUUUUUGUAUUUGUACGACCAUUGAGCAAAGAGCAAUAUGCUCGAAAAUCAAGGAUGUGUAGUUUUAGAGGUCAUCACACCCAAAGUGGCAUUUCCUUGUUCCAACCAAUGUAUCAUUAUGGUUACUUUUUACAUGGUAUGGCGUGAAAAUAUGAGAAGACUUGCAUAGGCACAUACUUGUUUGCACCAACCAGGUGUAACGUUAUGACCAUUUUAAAUAUAUGAUUCACUAUUGGGGCAAUACCAAAUAUUUACAAUGAUCAUAUGCUCAGUUCACGAGAAUAAUUUUGAAACGAAUACCCGACAUAGGGCGGUGUCUAUAUCAAAGCUGAGCAUCAUUAACUUGUUGUUAAGGCAGAAUAUUUAAGACAGCUCUUUGUAAUAUGGAUACGUGUCAUUUGUCACUGGUCAUAAUGCUGUGGCUCGUUGGAAUGACAUGGCCGCCUCAACAUUUCCACUUUAUUCAAUGUCACUUGGUUUGUUUAUCGUGUGUUACGCUCAAUGAGAAUUGUCGGAUGCAAAGUACAGGUUCUCCCUCCACUCAUUUUUUUUUAUGUUCAAAUAUGCCACAACCAACAGAAAGGGUGUUUUGACUUUGUCAAACUAAAAAAAAACAAACAAAAAAACUGUGUGACUGACAUAGACAGCUGUAUAAUGUCUGAAAAAUCACUUGUGCUUGACUUAAACCUCAAAAUGAUCCCUCAGAACACAUUUAGCUGGUUUUCAUCAUCUAAUGUGUCUUAAUACAGGAAUUUGUGAAAUUAGUGAAGGAGGGUUUUUGAUACACACACACGCCGACUUGACAUACUGAUGUGUAAAGAACUGCUGUAACAUGACUCCGGGGGGCAGCCUUAUGUGGUCAUCAAUAAUGUGUGUAAAUAUGAUGUGAACAUUUUGUGUUUUGGGUGUUUUUUUGUCAUAUGCCGCAAUUCCUGUGUUUUCUGAUUUUUGUAACAUUCAAAGGGGAUGGUAUUUAAUUGAAAGACUCAUCACAGAAAUUUAACGUCAUCACAUCUCACUGCCACUUUCCUUCAUGAGAAAGAACACAUUAGAGUGUAUUGAUUUUCUUCAGAAACUGUUUUCUGGAGGUAUACAGAUAGGAAGUUAGUGUUAGCAUACUGUACCACAGUCCUGGCUUGGUUUACUAAUACUUAGAUGCAACUCAGUCUGGAGUAGUUUAUUUAUUGCUGACCAAAAGUACAUACUGAAAA